AGUGAACGCUGGCGGUAGGCCUAACACAUCCAAGUCGAACGGCAGCACAGUAAGAGCUUGCCCUUACGGGUGGCGAGUGGCGGACGGGUGAGGAAUACAUCGGAAUCUACUUUUUCGUGGGGGAUAACGUAGGGAAACUUACGCUAAUACCGCAUACGACCUACGGGUGAAAGCAGGGGAUCUUCGGACCUUGCGCGAUUGAAUGAGCCGAUGUCGGAUUAGCUAGUUGGCGGGGUAAAGGCCCACCAAGGCGACGAUCCGUAGCUGGUCUGAGAGGAUGAUCAGCCACACUGGAACUGAGACACGGUCCAGACUCCUACGGGAGGCAGCAGUGGGGAAUAUUGGACAAAGGGCGCAAGCCUGAUCCAGCCAUACCGCGUGGGUGAAGAAGGCCUUCGGGUUGUAAAGCCCUUUUGUUGGGAAAGAAAAGCAGCAGGUUAAUACCCCGCUGUUCUGACGGUACCCAAAGAAUAAGCACCGGCUAACUUCGUG
RNAcentral lists this ribosomal RNA (492 nucleotides) under uncultured bacterium. RNAcentral's name for it is "partial 16S ribosomal RNA". It matches the Rfam family "Bacterial small subunit ribosomal RNA", at positions 29 to 507 of the family's 1533-position model. The record is from RNAcentral.